UACGGAGGGUGCAAGCGUCGUCCGGAACCACUGGGCGUAAAGGGCGCGUAGGCGGCCUGGUAAGUCGGGGGUGAAAUCCUGCGGCUUAACCGCAGGGCUGCCUUCUAAACUGUCAGGCUUGAGCACGGUAGAGGCAGAUGGAAUUCCCGGUGUAGCGGUGGAAUGCGUAGAGAUCGGGAAGAACAUCAGUGGCGAAGGCGGUCUGCUGGGCCGUUGCUGACGCUGAGGCGCGACAGCGUGGGGAGCAAACAGG
Molecule: ribosomal RNA, 253 nt
Filed under: uncultured bacterium
Lineage: Bacteria
Description: partial 16S ribosomal RNA
Rfam family: Bacterial small subunit ribosomal RNA
Source: RNAcentral